UACGUAGGGGGCGAGCGUUGUCCGGAAUCAUUGGGCGUAAAGCGCGUGUAGGCGGCCCGGUAAGUCCGCUGUGAAAGUCCAGGGCUCAACCCUGGGAUGCCGGUGGAUACUGUCGGGCUCGAGUCCGGAAGAGGCGAGUGGAAUUCCUGGUGUAGCGGUGAAAUGCGCAGAUAUCAGGAGGAACACCAAUGGCGAAGGCAACUCGCUGGGACGUUACUGACGCUAAGGCGCGAAAGCGUGGGGAGCGAACAGG
This 253-nucleotide ribosomal RNA is filed under the name uncultured bacterium. RNAcentral's name for it is "partial 16S ribosomal RNA". It matches the Rfam family "Bacterial small subunit ribosomal RNA", at positions 524 to 776 of the family's 1533-position model. The record is from RNAcentral.